Molecule: ribosomal RNA, 460 nt
Filed under: uncultured bacterium
Lineage: Bacteria
Description: partial 16S ribosomal RNA
Rfam family: Bacterial small subunit ribosomal RNA
Source: RNAcentral
CCUACGGGGGGCAGCAGUGAGGAAUAUUGGUCAAUGGGAGGUAUCCUGAACCAGCCAUGCAGCGUGCAGGACGACGGCUCUACGAGUUGUACACUGCUUUUGUACCGGGGUAAAAUGCUCUACGAGUAGGGUUUUGAAAGUACGGUACGAAUAAGGAUCGGCUAACUCCGUGACAGCAGCCGCGGUAAUACGGAGGAUCCGAGCGUUAUCCGGAUACAUUGGGUUGAAAGGGUGCGUAGGUUGUUUUAUAAGUUAGCUGUGAAAUACUGAUGCUCAACAUCGGAGCUGCCGCUGAUACUGUAGGACGUGAGAUCGGAUGCAGCAGGCGGAAUGUGUAGUGUAGCGGUGAAAUGCAUAGAUAUUACACAGAACACCGAUUGCGAAGGCAGCUUGCUAGGCUGGAUCUGACACUGAUGCACGAAAGUGUGGGGAUCGAACAGGAUUAGAUACCCUAGUAGUC